AAAUAGGAAUAAUGGCGUCCAAAAUUAGUUUCGCUCCCAAUCGAUGAUAUUUUCCAUAUUUCAGAGGAACCACAAUAAAAAAAUUAAUGAACUGUAAUGAAAAUAACAAACUAAUAUUUUGUCCAUGCACAUCUCUAUCGAUAAUGCCCAAUAAUACACAGUAAAAAUAGUUAUCUGGCUACUGAAGAUUGUUAAUAUGUAAUACAUGCCCAAACUCAUCAGCCUGUAGCCGCAAUUCAGAAAUAUUUUAUAUACUGAGCUGUUUCAGUUCAUAUGCAGUAGCGGAGCUGGAGGUUGAUGUAGCUAGGGUGCCCAAAAGGUAGAUCCCCAGGCGUUGUAGAACUACACUUCCCAUGAUGCUUUGCAUGCCUUUCGAAUGACAAAGCAUCAUGGAAGUUGUAGAUUUAAAACAUCUGGGGAUCUACCUUUUGGGAACCCCUGUAUUACAGUUUCCUUUGAGUCCACCAAGGGCAGGAGCUGCAGGCAUAACAAACGUGUAAUAUAUAUGGGUUGUACAUGUAUGGGUAAUGUAUGGACUAUACAUUCAUUUUUUUGUGUACUACCGGUAUACUAGCUAUAACAUUACGUAACCUUGCCCAAAAUAACUCUUGUCCCCUUGCGUUGCCUGGCCAGUCCAGGUAAGUUUUCUUAUGCAACAACUUAGUCAGUCUAUGGUAACAUUGUAUCUCUUUCUUUAAAAUCUUAUCAAGGAAUAUCACCAGGAGAGAAUCUUUAUUCUCAGCUACAAGUCUGUAAGUUGCCAUUCGCAUCUCUAAUGAGCACCAGUGACUUUGUAGGUAACUAUGUGUAAUGAGGCAGAUAGUCCACCUGCUUUUAUGGAUACUGUCCACGAUAUUCUCAACUAUGUCUCUGCCAAUCUCAAAAUCCCGAUUAUGGAUGCACACCUUAAAGAAAGGGGGACCAUUUUGCUCCAAGUUGGGAAGCAACUGUUCUGUAACCCACUGUUCAUCACGAGUGUUGUAAGAGACAAACACAUCAUAAUGACAUUGGUUUUGAACCUGUCCUUUGAAUCUGUGAUUCAACCAGCACAUCACUAUAUAGAACAAAUAACAGAAAUACCAGAAAAUAAU
This is a non-coding RNA of Pelobates cultripes (western spadefoot toad), 1091 nucleotides long. The record is from the annotation of a GenBank genome assembly. Lineage: Eukaryota; Metazoa; Chordata; Amphibia; Anura; Pelobatidae.